UUGUCCCAACCAAACAUCUCAUAUGAAUUGACGUUGUAGAUUUUUCAGGUGAUACUUGCAAUAUAAGGUCCUCUUUUAGCAAUUGAAAGGGAAAUGUAGAGCAACAGGAAAAAAGAAUUUCCACAUUUGAAGACAUUGAUUGUCAAAUCUGAUUCUGCUUGUAAAAUUUUGAGUACAGUUCUCACCUUAAUUGUUCAUUUAGUUUUGAGAAUGUGUUUUCUAACUUAUUAUAAUCUUCCUUCUUUUUGAGAAGGUGAAUUUGUAAGGUGCAAUCCUUUAUUUUCCCUUUUUAUGGUUAAUACUUUGUACAAUAUGUGAUUCAUAUAAAUGACACGUGCUAUUAGAGAACUAUAAUGAAUCCAAGAUAUUUGAUUUUAUGUCUAAAGCAGCUACACAAUUAUUUUUGUUGUUUCCUUUCUCCACAGGUGUUCUAUGAGCUACUCUUCAACAUGUUUGCAUCAGCUCCUCUUGUACCUAAGAGAAAGUGCAAGAGAUGCACUUGUUCUCCUCUGAAAAUAAUGCUUUACCAGGAGCACGAGGACUCCCAACUAAUGGACAACUUUAGAAUCCAACUUAAAACACUAUGAUCAGUCUUCAGAUGGAUAUAUAUAAUAUGUUACAAGUAAAAAGUUCCAAUUUUCCUUAUGGCAGAAAAAAAGUGAACACCACAGAUGCCAAAAGGUUCCAUGUCUUGUUGAAAGGAUCCUAAUAAAAUAUGGGUGUAAAACCAAAAAGGUUCCACGUCUUGUUGAAAGGAUCCUAAUAAAAUAUGGGUAUUUUCUUUAUCGUAGAAAAAAGUGAACAACAUAUAUACCAAAAGGUUCCAUGUCCUGUUGAAAGGAUCCUAAUAAAAUAUGGGUGUAAAACCAAAAAGGUUCGAUGUCUUAUUGAAAGGAUCGUAAUAAAAUAUAGGUGUAAAACCAAUGUAUCAAACUUGCAUCAAAACUAUAAUUC
This 954-nucleotide long non-coding RNA is filed under the name Capsicum annuum. RNAcentral's name for it is "long non-coding RNA (CANN_LNC008002)". Lineage: Eukaryota; Viridiplantae; Streptophyta; Magnoliopsida; Solanales; Solanaceae. The record is from RNAcentral.